This 534-nucleotide ribosomal RNA is filed under the name Thielavia basicola. RNAcentral's name for it is "eukaryotic LSU rRNA". The stretch from base 152 to 306 matches the Rfam family "5.8S ribosomal RNA". The record is from RNAcentral. Lineage: Eukaryota; Fungi; Ascomycota; Sordariomycetes; Coronophorales; Ceratostomataceae.
AACCUACCAAUCAUCGUUGCUUCGGCGGGCGGCGCCGGGGGGGGGCAUCGUGUCCCCCCCAGGAGCCGACGCCCUUGCGGGCGCCCGCCGGAGGUACCUAACCCUGACCUAUUGUAUGGCCUCUCUGAGUCUUCUGUACUGAAUAAGUCAAAACUUUCAACAACGGAUCUCUUGGUUCUGGCAUCGAUGAAGAACGCAGCGAAAUGCGAUAAGUAAUGUGAAUUGCAGAAUUCAGUGAAUCAUCGAAUCUUUGAACGCACAUUGCGCCCGCCAGCCAUUCUGGCGGGCAUGCCUGUCCGAGCGUCAUUUCAACCAUCAAGCCCCGUGCUUGUGUUGGGGAGCUGCGGGCCCUCCGGGGCGCGCAGGCCCUGAAAUGCAGUGGCGGGCUCGCUGACACACCGAGCGUAGUAGCAUAAUUCUCGCUCUGGGCGUGCUGCGGGUACCGGCCGUGAAACGACCACUCGAGAGAGAGGACACCCAAAGGUUGACCUCGGAUCAGGUAGGAAUACCCGCUGAACUUAAGCAUAUCAAUAA